AGGAGGCGCAUAGUGUCAGGUUGUCCCAAAAUAGUGACGUUAUAUACCAUCGCUUGGCUAAUGUGCUGACUCACACUUCCUUCCAUGAUAAAGGCAUACCUCUCCGUGUAUACUGGAGAUGAAUUACAGUUCCUUCUAAAAAGGCAGGGCAUUUCAGGUUUUGACCCCAGCUAAGGCUUUCCAGAGGGGCAGAGGGGCAGAGGCGGGGGAGCUGCAGACCGCUUGACUCCUACAGGCCACAUCAUGCCAAGCCACUUGUCCUUGGGGAAGAUAAGUAUAAAUAGGGACUGCACUCCUGCCCCCACUUCCAGCCCCAAACACCCUAACUUCUUCCUGUUUGGAUGGAAAGCUGAGAGGGGUGAAUGAGGGGAGGGGUGUGGCUUUCAUGAAACGUGGUUUUAAUGUUUACUUUAUUCCCUUUCCCUUCUCUGAGAGGCACAAGUGGGAAUCAUUCCCAUUUUGUGCUAAUUUAAAGGCAACUUAAAGAAGAA
Long non-coding RNA from Otolemur garnettii (small-eared galago), 491 nucleotides. RefSeq lists it as uncharacterized. The transcript is spliced from 3 exons. Lineage: Eukaryota; Metazoa; Chordata; Mammalia; Primates; Galagidae. The record is from RefSeq and is a predicted model, not a curated record.